AUGGAUUUAUCUGCGAGAUCGAUAGGGCGCAGAAGGGUUUGAUCUACUCCGGCCUAAGGCGACGUCGUUAGGAAAUCUUUUGUGGAUAUUCGGCGCCCUCGAGGAAGGGUCCGUGACCCAAAAAACGCUCCUUCAAUAGCACACCUCCCCAGCUUCAUUUUUAUGGAUGUUUGGGGUGAGCACGCGGACCCCCUCACCACUGGAUUACAGAAUCUCUGAAAUCUUCACCUCGACUCAAAAACCACGGAAAUGCAGAAGACAUCCAGGGAGAGUCUGUAAGGAAAAACAAAAUCCAAGGCCGAAACGCCCCAGAAAUCUCUCCCCUUAAACAGCAAGGAGAUCGGUGAUGUAUCGGGAGCAUUUAUUGAGCCCCUACCCUGUGCGGAGCUCUGUACUGAGCGCUUGGGAGAAUACGGUAGAGGUUUUUUUCCCUUCAAGCAGGGUACUCAGACUCGGACAUCCUUUCCAUAGGGAAGGAAGACGUUAUACCGCGUCAAUAAAAUGAUGAUGAUAAUU
Ornithorhynchus anatinus (platypus) is the source of this 516-nucleotide long non-coding RNA. RefSeq lists it as uncharacterized. The transcript has 2 exons. NCBI's taxonomy places the organism in Eukaryota, Metazoa, Chordata, Mammalia, Monotremata, Ornithorhynchidae. The record is from RefSeq and is a predicted model, not a curated record.